GCCUCUAAAGGAAAUAGUCAUCCAGUGGUCUUAGRAGCCAAA
This 42-nucleotide transfer RNA is filed under the name Kinyongia adolfifriderici. RNAcentral describes it as "partial tRNA-Leu". Lineage: Eukaryota; Metazoa; Chordata; Lepidosauria; Squamata; Chamaeleonidae. The record is from RNAcentral.